GAUGAACGCUGGCGGCGUGCCUAAUACAUGCAAGUCGAGCGAACAGACGAGGAGCUUGCUCCUCUGACGUUAGCGGCGGACGGGUGAGUAACACGUGGAUAACCUACCUAUAAGACUGGGAUAACUUCGGGAAACCGGAGCUAAUACCGGAUAAUAUAUUGAACCGCAUGGUUCAAUAGUGAAAGACGGUUUUGCUGUCACUUAUAGAUGGAUCCGCGCCGCAUUAGCUAGUUGGUAAGGUAACGGCUUACCAAGGCGACGAUGCGUAGCCGACCUGAGAGCGUGAUCGGCCACACUGGAACUGAGACACGGUCCAGACUCCUACGAGAGGCAGCAGUAGGGAAUCUUCCGCAAUGGGCGAAAGCCUGACGGAGCAACGCCGCGUGAGUGAUGAAGGUCUUCGGAUCGUAAAACUCUGUUAUUAGGGAAGAACAAAUGUGUAAGUAACUAUGCACGUCUUGACGGUACCUAAUCAGAAAGCCACGGCUAACUACGUG
RNAcentral lists this ribosomal RNA (497 nucleotides) under uncultured bacterium. RNAcentral describes it as "partial 16S ribosomal RNA". It matches the Rfam family "Bacterial small subunit ribosomal RNA", at positions 28 to 507 of the family's 1533-position model. The record is from RNAcentral.